RNAcentral lists this unclassified non-coding RNA (19 nucleotides) under Chlamydomonas reinhardtii. Its description in RNAcentral is "small RNA Cre_4062". The record is from RNAcentral. Lineage: Eukaryota; Viridiplantae; Chlorophyta; Chlorophyceae; Chlamydomonadales; Chlamydomonadaceae.
UUGUGCCGGCCGACACUGC